This 381-nucleotide unclassified non-coding RNA is filed under the name uncultured Pseudomonadota bacterium. RNAcentral describes it as "uncultured proteobacterium contains 16S-23S intergenic spacer region". The record is from RNAcentral. Lineage: Bacteria; Pseudomonadati; Pseudomonadota.
UCCGGUUUAACACCGGCAGUCCCCUUAGAGUGCCCAACUGAAUGAUGGCAACUAAGGGCGAGGGUUGCGCUCGUUGCGGGACUUAACCCAACAUCUCACGACACGAGCUGACGACAGCCAUGCAGCACCUGUGUUCCCGCCAGCCGAACUGAAGGGUUCCAUCUCUGGUACCCAUACGGGACAUGUCAAAGGCUGGUAAGGUUCUGCGCGUUGCUUCGAAUUAAGCCACAUGCUCCACCGCUUGUGCGGGCCCCCGCCAAUUCCUUUGAGUUUUAGCCUUGCGGCCGUACUCCCCAGGCAGCGCACUUACUGCGUUAGCUGCGGCACCGGAGGGGUCGAUACCCCCGACACCUAGUGAGCACCGUUUACGGCGUGGACUAC